Molecule: ribosomal RNA, 377 nt
Filed under: uncultured bacterium
Lineage: Bacteria
Description: bacterial SSU rRNA
Rfam family: Bacterial small subunit ribosomal RNA
Source: RNAcentral
AUACGUAGGGGGCAAGCGUUAUCCGGAUUUACUGGGUGUAAAGGGAGCGUAGGUGGCAAAUCAAGUCAGAUGUGAAAGCCCGGGGCUCAACCCCGGGAUUGCAUUUGAAACUGAUAUGCUAGAGUGCAGGAGAGGUAAGUGGAAUUCCUAGUGUAGCGGUGAAAUGCGUAGAUAUUAGGAGGAACACCAGUGGCGAAGGCGGCUUACUGGACUGUAACUGACACUGAGGCUCGAAAGCGUGGGGAGCAAACAGGAUUAGAUACCCUGGUAGUCCACGCUGUAAACGAUGAAUACUAGGUGUUGGGGGUCAAAAGACCCUCGGUGCCGUCGCAAACGCAUUAAGUAUUCCACCUGGGGAGUACGUUCGCAAGAAUGAA